This 447-nucleotide ribosomal RNA is filed under the name uncultured soil bacterium. Its description in RNAcentral is "bacterial SSU rRNA". It matches the Rfam family "Bacterial small subunit ribosomal RNA", at positions 26 to 518 of the family's 1533-position model. The record is from RNAcentral.
AGGAUAAACGCUGGCGGCGUGCCUAACGCAUGCAAGUCGAACGAGGCCUUCGGGCCUAGUGGCGGACGGGUGAGUAACACGUAGGAACCUGCCCGGAAGUGGGGGACAACUCCGCGAAAGCGGGGCUAAUACCGCAUACGGUCUACGGACCAAAGCCUUCGGGCGCUUUCGGAGGGGCCUGCGGCGGAUUAGCUAGUUGGUGGGGUAACGGCCUACCAAGGCGACGAUCCGUAGCUGGUCUGAGAGGAUGAUCAGCCACACUGGGACUGAGACACGGCCCAGACUCCUACGGGAGGCAGCAGCGAGGAAUUUCCGCAAUGGGCGAAAGCCUGACGGAGCAACGCCGCGUGGGGGAAGAAGGCCUUCGGGUGUAAACCCCUGUUGCGAGGGAAGAAGAUCUGACGGUACCUCGCGAGGAAGCCACGGCUAACACGCGCCAGCAGCCGC